RNAcentral lists this ribosomal RNA (445 nucleotides) under Lyocyclus sp. TT-2014. RNAcentral's name for it is "partial 16S rRNA". It matches the Rfam family "Bacterial large subunit ribosomal RNA", at positions 1819 to 2561 of the family's 2925-position model. Lineage: Eukaryota; Metazoa; Mollusca; Gastropoda; Littorinimorpha; Vanikoridae. The record is from RNAcentral.
GGCUUCUUGAAUAAAAUAAAUAAGAGGUUUUACCUGCCCAGUGAUGUAAUUUAAAUGGCCGCAGUAUUUUGACUGUGCUAAGGUAGCAUAAUCAUUUGUUUUAUAAUUGGAAACUAGUAUGAAUGGUUGGACGGAAGUUAAGCUGUCUCUAUAAAAUUUUAUAAAAAUUAAUUUUUAAGUGAAAAAGCUUAAAUUUAAUUAAAAGACAAGAAGACCCUAUCGAGUUUUAUUUAAGUAUAUUUUUAUGAGUAUAGAAAAUUUUGUUGGGGCGACUUAGGAACAUUAGAAACUUCCUAAUUAUAUUUUAGUAUUUAUAAUGAUCCAAGAUUUUUGAAUUAAGAUUAAAUUACCGUAGGGAUAACAGCGUUAUUUUUUUUUUGAGUUCUAAUUAAAAGAAGAGUUUGCGACCUCGAUGUUGGACUAAAAUUUCCUAAAGAUGUAGUAG